RNAcentral lists this ribosomal RNA (439 nucleotides) under uncultured bacterium. RNAcentral's name for it is "partial 16S ribosomal RNA". It matches the Rfam family "Bacterial small subunit ribosomal RNA", at positions 339 to 795 of the family's 1533-position model. The record is from RNAcentral.
CUACGGGUUGCAGCAGUGAGGAAUAUUGCACAAUGGGGGGAACCCUGAUGCAGCAACGCCGCGUGGAGGAUGACGCAUUUCGGUGUGUAAACUCCUUUUAUAUGUCAAGAAAAUGACGGUAGCAUAUGAAUAAGCACCGGCUAACUCCGUGCCAGCAGCCGCGGUAAUACGGAGGGUGCAAGCGUUACUCGGAAUCACUGGGCGUAAAGGACGCGUAGGCGGGUUGGAAAGUCAGGUGUGAAAUCCUACAGCUUAACUGUAGAGCUGCACUUGAAACUUCGAAUCUAGAGUAUGGGAGGGGGAGAUGGAAUUAGUGGUGUAGGGGUAAAAUCCGUAGAUAUCACUAGGAAUACCUAAAGCGAAGGCGAUCUCCUGGAACAUUACUGACGCUAAGGCGUGAAAGCGUGGGGAGCAAACAGGAUUAGAUACCCUUGUAGUC